GAAUUCGCCCUUAGAGUUUGAUCCUGGCUCAGGACGAACGCUGGCGGCACGCCUAACACAUGCAAGUCGAACGGAGAUAAAGACUUCGGUUUUUAUCUUAGUGGCGGACGGGUGAGUAACACGUGAGCAACCUGCCUCUGAGAGAGGGAUAGCUUCUGGAAACGGAUGGUAAUACCUCAUAAUAUAGCGGUACCGCAUGAUACUGCUAUCAAAGAUUUAUCGCUCAGAGAUGGGCUCGCGUCUGAUUAGCUAGAUGGUGAGGUAACGGCUCACCAUGGCGACGAUCAGUAGCCGGACUGAGAGGUUGAACGGCCACAUUGGGACUGAGACACGGCCCAGACUCCUACGGGAGGCAGCAGUGGGGAAUAUUGCACAAUGGGCGCAAGCCUGAUGCAGCGAUGCCGCGUGGAGGAAGAAGGUUUUCGGAUUGUAAACUCCUGUCUUAAGGGACGAUAAUGACGGUACCUUAGGAGGAAGCUCCGGCUAACUACGUGCCAGCAGCCGCGGUAAUGCGUAGGGAGCGAGCGUUGUCCGGAAUUACUGGGUGUAAAGGGAGCGUAGGCGGGAUUGCAAGUCAGACGUGAAAUGUAUGGGCUUAACCCAUAGACUGCAUUUGAAACUGUAGUUCUUGAGUGAAGUAGAGGUAAGCGGAAUUCCUAGUGUAGCGGUGAAAUGCGUAGAUAUUAGGAGGAACAUCGGUGGCGAAGGCGGCUUACUGGGCUUUUACUGACGUCGAGGCUCGAAAGCGUGGGGAGCAAACAGGAUUAGAUACCCUAGUAGUCCACGCCGUAAACGGUGGAUGCUGGAUGUGGGGCCCGUUCCACGGGUUCCGUGUCGGAGCUAACGCGUUAAGCAUCCCGCCUGGGGAGUACGGCCGCAAGGCUAAAACUCAAAGAAAUUGACGGGGGCCCGCACAAGCGGCGGAGCAUGCGGAUUAAUUCGAUGCAACGCGAAGAACCUUACCUGGGCUUGACAUGUUCCCGACAGCCGUAGAGAUGCGGCCUCCCUUCGGGGCGGGUUCACAGGUGGUGCAUGGUCGUCGUCAGCACGUGUCGUGAGAUGUAGGGUUAAGUCCCGCAACGAGCGCAACCCUCGCCCUGUGUUGCCAGCACGUCAUGGUGGGAACUCACGGGGGACCGCCGGGGUCAACUCGGAGGAAGGUGGGGAUGACGUCAGAUCAUCAUGCCCCUUACGUCCAGGGCUUCACGCAUGCUACAAUGGCCGGUACAACGGGAUGCGACAUGGCGACAUGGAGCGGAUCCCUGAAAACCGGUCUCAGUUCGGAUUGGAGUCUGCAACCCGACUCCAUGAAGGCGGAGUCGCUAGUAAUCGCGGAUCAGCAACGCCGCGGUGAAUGCGUUCCCGGGCCUUGCACACACCGCCCGUCA
Molecule: ribosomal RNA, 1388 nt
Filed under: uncultured bacterium
Lineage: Bacteria
Description: bacterial SSU rRNA
Rfam family: Bacterial small subunit ribosomal RNA
Source: RNAcentral